GUGCACCAGGCGCGAAACCUCCGCAAUGCGGGAAACCGCGACGGGGUCAGCCGGAGUGCUCGCGCAUCGCGCGGGCUGUCGGGGUGCCUAAAAAGCACCCCAUAGCAAGGGCCGGGCAAGGCCGGUGGCAGCCGCCGCGGUAAUACCGGCGGCCCGAGUGGCGGCCACUUUUAUUGGGCCUAAAGCGUCCGUAGCCGGGCUGGUAAGUCCUCCGGGAAAUCUGGUCGCUUAACGAUCAGACUUCCGGAGGAUACUGCCAGCCUAGGGACCGGGAGAGGCCGGGGGUAUUCCCGGGGUAGGGGUGAAAUCCUGUAAUCCCGGGAGGACCACCUGUGGCGAAGGCGCCCGGCUGGAACGGGUCCGACGGUGAGGGACGAAGGCCAGGGGAGCGAACCGGAUUAGAUACCCGCGUAGU
This 415-nucleotide ribosomal RNA is filed under the name uncultured microorganism. Its description in RNAcentral is "bacterial SSU rRNA". It matches the Rfam family "Archaeal small subunit ribosomal RNA", at positions 330 to 745 of the family's 1478-position model. The record is from RNAcentral.